GACGAACGCUGGCGGCGUGCCUAAUACAUGCAAGUCGAGCGGACGGAUGGGAGCUUGCUCCCUGAAGUCAGCGGCGGACGGGUGAGUAACACGUGGGCAACCUGCCUGUAAGACUGGGAUAACUUCGGGAAACCGGAGCUAAUACCGGAUAAUGCAUAACCUCUCAUGAGGUUAUGCUGAAAGAUGGUUUCGGCUAUCACUUACAGAUGGGCCCGCGGCGCAUUAGCUAGUUGGUGAGGUAACGGCUCACCAAGGCAACGAUGCGUAGCCGACCUGAGAGGGUGAUCGGCCACACUGGGACUGAGACACGGCCCAGACUCC
This 321-nucleotide ribosomal RNA is filed under the name Bacillus sp. A0017. Its description in RNAcentral is "bacterial SSU rRNA". It matches the Rfam family "Bacterial small subunit ribosomal RNA", at positions 28 to 339 of the family's 1533-position model. The record is from RNAcentral. Lineage: Bacteria; Bacillati; Bacillota; Bacilli; Caryophanales; Bacillaceae. RNAcentral also lists the same sequence under 2 other names.